AAGUCGUAACAAGGUUUCCGUAGGUGAACCUGCGGAAGGAUCAUUAACACUUUUUAAUUAAAUUUCUUUUUCUAGAAAUUUAUAAAACCCCACAAUUUUGGAUGAAUUUAAUUAUUUAAUUUUAAUUUUUUUUAAAUUUUUUUUAUAUAACUAAAAUAUUUUGGACUAAAAUCUUUUUUUAUAAAUUUUUAUAUAAUUUAAAAAACAACUCUUAACAACGGAUAUCUUGGCUCUC
RNAcentral lists this unclassified non-coding RNA (235 nucleotides) under fungal sp. RNAcentral describes it as "partial internal transcribed spacer region". The stretch from base 1 to 46 matches the Rfam family "Eukaryotic small subunit ribosomal RNA", at positions 1786 to 1831 of the family's 1831-position model. Lineage: Eukaryota; Fungi. The record is from RNAcentral.